RNAcentral lists this ribosomal RNA (462 nucleotides) under uncultured bacterium. RNAcentral describes it as "partial 16S ribosomal RNA". It matches the Rfam family "Bacterial small subunit ribosomal RNA", at positions 31 to 507 of the family's 1533-position model. The record is from RNAcentral.
GAACGCUGGCGGCGUGCUUAACACAUGCAAGUCGAACGGAAAGGCCCCUUUGGGGGUACUCGAGUGGCGAACGGGUGAGUAACACGUGAGUAACCUGCCCUUGACUUCGGGAUAACUUCAGGAAACUGGGGCUAAUACCGGAUAGGAAUCCUUGCUGCAUGGUGGGGGUUGGAAAGCUUCGGCGGUUUUGGAUGGACUCGCGGCUUAUCAGCUUGUUGGUGGGGUAGUGGCUUACCAAGGCUUUGACGGGUAGCCGGCCUGAGAGGGCGACCGGCCACAUUGGGACUGAGAUACGGCCCAGACUCCUACGGGAGGCAGCGGUGGGGAAUAUUGCACAAUGGGCGGAAGCCUGAUGCAGCAACGCCGCGUGCGGGAUGACGGCCUUCGGGUUGUAAACCGCUUUCAGCAGGGGCGAAGCUUGUGGUGACGGUACCUGCAGAAGAAGCACCGGCUAACUACGUG